This 468-nucleotide ribosomal RNA is filed under the name uncultured bacterium. Its description in RNAcentral is "partial 16S ribosomal RNA". It matches the Rfam family "Bacterial small subunit ribosomal RNA", at positions 28 to 507 of the family's 1533-position model. The record is from RNAcentral.
GACGAACGCUGGCGGCGUGCUUAACACAUGCAAGUCGAACGGAAAGGCCCUGCUUUUGUGGGGUGCUCGAGUGGCGAACGGGUGAGUAACACGUGAGUAACCUGCCCUUGACUUUGGGAUAACUUCAGGAAACUGGGGCUAAUACCAGAUAGGAGCUCCUGCUGCAUGGUGGGGGUUGGAAAGUUUCGGCGGUUGGGGAUGGACUCGCGGCUUAUCAGCUUGUUGGUGGGGUAGUGGCUUACCAAGGCUUUGACGGGUAGCCGGCCUGAGAGGGUGACCGGCCACAUUGGGUCUGAGAUACGGCCCAGACUCCUACGGGAGGCAGCAGUGGGGAAUAUUGCACAAUGGGCGGAAGCCUGAUGCAGCAACGCCGCGUGCGGGAUGACGGCCUUCGGGUUGUAAACCGCUUUCGCCUGUGACGAAGCGUGAGUGACGGUAAUGGGUAAAGAAGCACCGGCUAACUACGUG